Molecule: transfer RNA, 74 nt
Filed under: Capitella teleta
Lineage: Eukaryota; Metazoa; Annelida; Polychaeta; Capitellidae
Description: tRNA-Ile for anticodon AAU
Rfam family: tRNA
About the family: Transfer RNA (tRNA) molecules are approximately 80 nucleotides in length. Their secondary structure includes four short double-helical elements and three loops (D, anti-codon, and T loops). Further hydrogen bonds mediate the characteristic L-shaped molecular structure. tRNAs have two regions of fundamental functional importance: the anti-codon, which is responsible for specific mRNA codon recognition, and the 3' end, to which the tRNAs corresponding amino acid is attached (by aminoacyl-tRNA synthetases). tRNAs cope with the degeneracy of the genetic code in two manners: having more than one tRNA (with a specific anti-codon) for a particular amino acid; and 'wobble' base-pairing, i.e. permitting non-standard base-pairing at the 3rd anti-codon position.
Source: Rfam by way of RNAcentral
GGCCCGUUAGCUCAGUUGGUUAGAGCGUCGUGCUAAUAACGCGAAGGUCGCGGGUUCGAUCCCCUCACGGGUCA